This 70-nucleotide transfer RNA is filed under the name Polycentropus flavomaculatus. RNAcentral's name for it is "tRNA-Tyr". The record is from RNAcentral. Lineage: Eukaryota; Metazoa; Arthropoda; Insecta; Trichoptera; Polycentropodidae.
AGUAAUAUGACUGAUUUAAGUGAUAAAUUGUAAAUUUAUUUAAAGAUUAAUAAUAUUAAUCUUAUUACUA